Long non-coding RNA from Oreochromis niloticus (Nile tilapia), 1304 nucleotides. RefSeq lists it as uncharacterized. Lineage: Eukaryota; Metazoa; Chordata; Actinopteri; Cichliformes; Cichlidae. The record is from RefSeq and is a predicted model, not a curated record. The transcript is spliced from 2 exons.
ACGUCACUUCAUCAUUUGUUACAUGAGGAGGUGGGUAGAGUAGACAGUGUGUUUUUCAUCAUGCUGACUUAUGAGAGUUAACUUUUUAUUGUCAUUGCACAGUUUUACCUACUACAAUAGUACAAUGAAAAUGGGUUCCAUGUUGGCACUACACACAGCACAACAGGACAACAACACAGUAACUUAACGUAAUAAUUAAAAAGACAUUGGACUAAGUGCAUAAUAAAUAGAAUUAGUAUAUGUUUUAUUGCACAUUAUUAUUAUUAUUAUCCUGUAUGUCCAAUGAUUUUUUUACCCUCUGAAGUGCCUUUUUUGUGCCAUGGUGCUGCUGGAGAACCACACACAGAUACAGUUGUCAGCACACUUUCAAUGGAGCAGCUGUAGAAGACGAUCAGCAGCUCCUUCCUCAGGUCCUCUUUUCUUCUCUGACAUGGAAAUUGUUUCCUUUCAACAUUCACAAAGGAUCUUCCAUUUCCAUAAAUGUGCCUGGAGGUGAUGAAGAAAAAGGUGUAUCUGAUGUGGAAGUCUUUUAGAAAGUGCUGUGAUAAAUACCUGCACAUAUGAGCACAGACUGUGUGCAGGUGAUGGAGUUUGUUGACACCACGCUUACUUUGAAAUUAGUGUUUAAGGACCAAAAGAUAUGAUUAGAACCUAGUUACACAGUGAGCUCUAAUAUAAUGCAGAGUCUAUGGAAUGAUGUUUAUGUCACAACAAAUGUGCAAGCAAAUAAUCACAGGCACAAUCAACUUCUUUGUACGUAAAUUCAACAACUCAUGUGCGCAGAACUCUGCUGCACACAAAGAAGCCAUCGUUAACACCUAAUUGUCUCCUUUGAAUGUUCUGGUACAGUUUUACACUUUAGUGAGUAGCUGUCUCCACUUGGAGAGAAACCCUUCUUGUGAGUGUAAAGAUAUUGUUAACUGUCUGGAGGCAGAGCCCAAAUCAUGAUGGGGUCCUAACUAAUGGACCCUUUGGGUUACUGUGUUAAACUGAGUUACACAGUGUCAGAAACGCUCAUUUAGACUGUAUUUGGUAACAAUUAAAGUUUGCUGAAAUAAUUAUUAACAGUUAUUGUUUGUAGUGCAGCAGUGAAAAUACUGACAACAGUCCCUGGAGUAUUUACAAUCCAGGGAUAUUAAUUAAAAUAUUUCGAACCAAAAGAGUCUAAGGCAACUUCUGAAGCUCUGCAAUUCUGUUCUAUUAUUCUGUUGGACAGUAUCACAUAGUUUCUAUGACGUAAUAAGUAAAAAAUGAAAAACUGAGAAUCAGGAAAGGAAGUGUGGAUCCAAAUCUGGCAAUUAGAA